AAAGCGUUUCGAUAAGGGCCAACCCCUUGCCACCACUUACAGAGGUUCCUCAGCGGGCAGUUGGCACAAUUGCAGCGCGGAGCCGCGAUUUGAACGGUUACUGUGUCUUUGGAGUCACGCGCCAUCGACGAUGCAGGCGUAGUCGGCGGAGGCGGAGGGCACCGAGGAGCUGCUCUCCAGCGCAUCCUUGCUAGUCGUGGGCUGCUCAUCGUCUCUUGGUUCGCCUGGCUCUUCGUACUUGGCUGCUAUAGCGUUCGGCAACGGCACCUGGCUGAGAAACGACUUUAUGUUGGUUUUCGGCAUGGGGCUAUGUCCAAUUGGCGACAGUUGCCAAAGGAACAAGUUCCAUUUUUGAAGAGCCUUCCUUGAAAUUCUUUAGAUGCUUCCCAACUGACUUCCAACCCGACCACGGCGACAUCCAAGUACACCAAGAUUUACAACACACAAUUUUGUGCUCAAUUUCGAAAAAAAAACCAAUACUUGUAAAAAUCA
Molecule: long non-coding RNA, 492 nt
Organism: Drosophila simulans
Lineage: Eukaryota; Metazoa; Arthropoda; Insecta; Diptera; Drosophilidae
Exons: 2
Source: RefSeq, a predicted model, not a curated record